This 329-nucleotide transfer-messenger RNA is filed under the name Dethiobacter sp. It matches the Rfam family "transfer-messenger RNA". Rfam says of the family: Bacterial tmRNA, also known as 10Sa RNA or SsrA, is named for its dual tRNA and mRNA-like properties. The record is from RNAcentral. Lineage: Bacteria; Bacillati; Bacillota; Dethiobacteria; Dethiobacterales; Dethiobacteraceae.
GUUUAUUAAAUUCGUAGCAAGUCCGGGCCCAUGACCCGGUCAACAACGUGGAAAAGGCAUGACUGCCAACGAUAAUUCCGCUCUCGCUGCUUAAUUAGCAGCGUGUCCGCUAGUUCCGAGCCAGUAGGCGCUAGUCCAGACGCCGACAACGCAGGCUACCGACUCCACGGUUUGUACAGCCAAAUGAGAAGGGAAUCACAACUGUGCUAGCGUAAGCGGCCCUCGCCUUAAGUAGCCGCCCGCGCGAAACUUAACUUAAGGCUACACUCGUAGAUGCUCUUGCUGGUUCGCACAACGGAUCAGGGGUUCGACUCCCCUCGCCUCCACCA